UACGUAGGGGGCAAGCGUUGUCCGGAAUUAUUGGGCGUAAAGAGCGUGUAGGCGGUCCGGUAAGUCCGCUGUGAAAGUCCAGGGCUCAACCCUGGAAUGCCGGUGGAUACUGCCGGGCUAGAGUCCGGAAGAGGCGAGUGGAAUUCCCAGUGUAGAGGUGAAAUUCGUAGAUAUUGGGAAGAACACCAGUGGCGAAGGCGGCUCACUGGCCCGUAACUGACGCUGAGGUGCGAAAGCGUGGGGAGCAAACAGG
Molecule: ribosomal RNA, 253 nt
Filed under: uncultured bacterium
Lineage: Bacteria
Description: partial 16S ribosomal RNA
Rfam family: Bacterial small subunit ribosomal RNA
Source: RNAcentral